This 1060-nucleotide long non-coding RNA is filed under the name Homo sapiens (human). RNAcentral's name for it is "HSALNT0277219". Lineage: Eukaryota; Metazoa; Chordata; Mammalia; Primates; Hominidae. The record is from RNAcentral.
GCGAGGAAACAGGGCCAGAGAAUUGGAACAAAAUACAAGGCUGCCUCUGAAAGGAAUAUCUUUGUGCUGAUGUGUCCAUCAAGAGAACAUACACAGAAGUGACACUUGCCAGUAAUUUGCAAGCAGAUGGAACUUCAAUAUGGCAAUAGAGAAAGAAUCAAUUAGACCAGAGUCUCCUCAGGAAGACUUUCUAUAGAUAUCUGGUGAGCAUCUGCUAGAUGCCAGGGUUGGGGAGAGUCAAGUUGAAGCAAGCAUGAACCCUCAAGGACCUACCAUUUCAAGGCAAGAAAUAGAUACAAAUACAGAAAAUAUUUACUGGAUAGCUACUAGACAUAAGGAUGCAGAAAUGAAUUAGAAAAAUUCCUCGCCCUUGUUCAAAGCUAUGCUGGCUCUUAGAACAUCUGAGCCCCCACUGUUUCAUCUUUAGAGGAUCCCAGCUGCUGGGGUGUGAGGCCAGUGCUGGAGCCAGCAGUCUCUGACCCAGAAGGGACCUGAGGUGCUAAAGAAAAACACAGAGAGGACGGUGCCACUGGAAGUCAUGCAGCCGCAAGUCAAGAAAUGUCAUGAGUGGCUCCUCUCCAGAAACUAGGAGAGGAGCAUGGGGCAGGUUUUCUCCUAGUGCCUUCAGAGACACAUGGCCCUGCCGACACCUUGAGUUUGGAUUUUUGGCCUCCAGAACUGGGUACAAGCUGGAAAAGGGGAAAAUGAAUCAUGCUACAGGCCAAGUGUCCAUCACUGAUUCCCAGAGAUGCCCUUUGUGUGGUAGGCACUUCCAUGUGGACUCGCUACAGAGGUCAUAAGACCCUAAUUCCAGAGGGCCCUACCCUAUAACCAGAAGGAAGAACUAUUGCACAGAGAAUCUAAGAAGAAUCUAGACAGACAGCCCUUGCUGGAUUUCUCCACUCUGUUAGCAUUCGAUCAUUUGCCUUUUGUCCAGUCAUAUUUCUGCAUGGCUGUCCAUACUUUGUUGAACCUAAGCACAAAAUGGAAAGUUUUCCCUGUAUCUUUGGGUCGUCAUUCUGAAGGCUCCCAUGUUAUGUAAAACUAUGAUCAAAUAAAU